AGGUAUAUAGCUCAGUGGCAGAGCGUGUGCUCAGAAGCACGAAGUCCAGGGUUCAAUCCCUGGUAACUCCA
RNAcentral lists this transfer RNA (71 nucleotides) under Camelus bactrianus (Bactrian camel). It matches the Rfam family "tRNA". From Rfam's summary of the family: Transfer RNA (tRNA) molecules are approximately 80 nucleotides in length. Lineage: Eukaryota; Metazoa; Chordata; Mammalia; Artiodactyla; Camelidae. The record is from Rfam by way of RNAcentral. RNAcentral also lists the same sequence under 2 other names.